This 471-nucleotide ribosomal RNA is filed under the name Leucoma salicis. Its description in RNAcentral is "partial large subunit ribosomal RNA". Lineage: Eukaryota; Metazoa; Arthropoda; Insecta; Lepidoptera; Erebidae. The record is from RNAcentral.
UGCCCACUGAUUAAUAAUUAAAGGGCUGCAGUAAUUUGACUGUACAAAGGUAGCAUAAUCAUUAGUCAUUUAAUUGGUGACUUGUAUGAAAGAUUGGAUGAGAUAUAUACUGUCUUAAAAGUAUAAUUUAAAAUUUAAUUUUUUAGUUAAAAAGCUAAAAUAUAUUAAAAAGACGAGAAGACCCUAUAGAGUUUUAUUAGUUAUUAAAAUUAGGAUUAUUUAUAAAUAUAAUGUAUUAUUAAUUAAUUAAAAUUUUAAAAUUAAUUUAGUUGGGGUGAUUAAAAAAUUAAAUUAACUUUUUUUUUAUUAUACAUUGAUAAGUGGUUUUUUGAUCCAUUAAUAUUGAUUAAAAGAAAAAAUUACCUUAGGGAUAACAGCGUAAUUUUGUUUUUUAGUUCAAAUAAAAAAUAGAGUUUGCGACCUCGAUGUUGGAUUAAGAUAAAAUUUAAGUGCAGAAGUUUAAAAUUUUGA